UAACAAGGAUUCCCCUAGUAACUGCGAGUGAAGCGGAAAAGCUCAAAUUUAAAAUCUGGCAGCUUAGGUUCUCCGAGUUGUAAUCUGGAGAAGCGUUUUCCGCGCCGGACCGUGUACAAGUCUCUUGGAACAGAGCGUCAUAGAGGGUGAGAAUCCCGUCCAUGACACGGACCGCCGGUGCUAUGUGAUACGCUCUCGAAGAGUCGAGUUGUUUGGGAAUGCAGCUCAAAAUGGGUGGUAAAUUCCAUCUAAAGCUAAAUAUUGGCGAGAGACCGAUAGCGAACAAGUACCGUGAGGGAAAGAUGAAAAGCACUUUGGAAAGAGAGUUAAACAGUACGUGAAAUUGUUGAAAGGGAAACGCUUGAAGUCAGUCGCGUCGUACGGAGCUCAGCCCUGCUCUUCUGCUGGGUGUACUCUCUGUGUCGACGGGUCAACGUCAAUUUUGAUCGGCAGAAAAGGGCCUCUUGAAUGUAGACGUCGUUUCGGUGACGUGUUAUAGUCUUGAGGUCGUAUGUGUCGGUUGGGAUUGAGGACCGCAGCACGCCCUUGUGGCCGGGGGUUCGCCUUACGUUUCGUGCUUAGGAUGUUGGCAAAAUGGCUUUAAGCGACCCGUCUUGAAACACGGACCAAGGAGUCUAACAUGCUUGCGAGUGUUAGGGUGGAAAACCCUUGCGCGUAAUGAAAGUGAAAGUUGAGAACCUCCUCAAGGGGGUGCACCGACGCCCGGCCCUGAAGUUCUCUGACGGUUCUGAGGUAGAGCACGUAUGUUGGGACCCGAAAGAUGGUGAACUAUGCCUGAAUAGGGUGAAGCCAGAGGAAACUCUGGUGGAGGCUCGUAGCGAUUCUGACGUGCAAAUCGAUCGUCAAAUUUGGG
Molecule: ribosomal RNA, 874 nt
Filed under: Hymenochaete cruenta
Lineage: Eukaryota; Fungi; Basidiomycota; Agaricomycetes; Hymenochaetales; Hymenochaetaceae
Description: eukaryotic LSU rRNA
Rfam family: Eukaryotic large subunit ribosomal RNA
Source: RNAcentral